UUCAUCAAGAGUUGGCAGAGGGACUGGCCCUAUGACGCCACGGCAACCAUCCGGAAGGAACGGUGCCAAAUCCAGCGGGAAUUCUCCGGAAGAUGAA
RNAcentral lists this non-coding RNA (97 nucleotides) under uncultured Succiniclasticum sp. RNAcentral describes it as "SAM riboswitch (S box leader)". It matches the Rfam family "SAM riboswitch aptamer (S box leader)". Rfam says of the family: The SAM riboswitch is found upstream of a number of genes which code for proteins involved in methionine or cysteine biosynthesis in Gram-positive bacteria. Lineage: Bacteria; Bacillati; Bacillota; Negativicutes; Acidaminococcales; Acidaminococcaceae. The record is from RNAcentral.